RNAcentral lists this ribosomal RNA (253 nucleotides) under uncultured bacterium. RNAcentral describes it as "partial 16S ribosomal RNA". It matches the Rfam family "Bacterial small subunit ribosomal RNA", at positions 524 to 776 of the family's 1533-position model. The record is from RNAcentral.
UACGUAGGGGGCAAGCGUUGUCCGGAAUCAUUGGGCGUAAAGCGCGCGUAGGCGGCCCGGUAAGUCCGCUGUAAAAGUCCAGGGCUCAACCCUGGAAAGCCGGUGGAUACUGUCGGGCUAGAGUCCGGAAGAGGCGAGUGGAAUUCCUGGUGUAGCGGUGGAAUGCGCAGAUAUCAGGAGGAACACCGAUGGCGAAGGCAGCUCGCUGGGACGGUACUGACGCUGAGGCGCGAAAGCUAGGGUAGCAAACGGG